RNAcentral lists this ribosomal RNA (449 nucleotides) under uncultured bacterium. RNAcentral describes it as "partial 16S ribosomal RNA". It matches the Rfam family "Bacterial small subunit ribosomal RNA", at positions 338 to 795 of the family's 1533-position model. The record is from RNAcentral.
CCUACGGGUGGCUGCAGUGGGGAAUAUUGGACAAUGGGCGCAAGCCUGAUCCAGCAAUGCCGCGUGUGUGAAGAAGGCCUGCGGGUUGUAAAGCACUUUAAGCCGGAAAGAAGGGGUGGUGGUUAAUACCCGCCAUCAUUGACGUUACCGGCAGAAUAAGCACCGGCUAACUCCGUGCCAGCAGCCGCGGUAAUACGGAGGGUGCGAGCGUUAAUCGGAAUUGCGGGGGGUAAAGCGCGCGUAGGCGGUGAAAGCCCUGGGCUUAACCUGGGAAUGGCAGUGGAUACUGGUUGGCUAGAGUGUGGUAGAGGGGAGUGGAAUUUCCGGUGUAGCAGUGAAAUGCGUAGAGAUCGGAAGGAACACCAGUGGCGAAGGCGGCUCCCUGGACCAACACUGACGCUGAGGUGCGAAAGCGUGGGGAGCAAACAGGAUUAGAUACCCCUGUAGUC